This 253-nucleotide ribosomal RNA is filed under the name uncultured bacterium. RNAcentral's name for it is "partial 16S ribosomal RNA". It matches the Rfam family "Bacterial small subunit ribosomal RNA", at positions 524 to 776 of the family's 1533-position model. The record is from RNAcentral.
UACAGAGGUCCCAAGCGUUGUUCGGAUUCACUGGGCGUAAAGCGCACGUAGGCGGCUUCUUAAGUCAGGGGUGAAAUCCUGGAGCUCAACUCCAGAACUGCCUUUGAUACUGAGGAGCUUGAGUCCGGGAGAGGUGAGUGGAACUCCGAGUGUAGAGGUGAAAUUCGUAGAUAUUCGGAAGAACACCAGUGGCGAAGGCGGCUCACUGGCCCGGUACUGACGCUGAGGUGCGAAAGCGUGGGGAGCAAACAGG